Non-coding RNA from Equus caballus (horse), 6678 nucleotides. The record is from RefSeq and is a predicted model, not a curated record. Lineage: Eukaryota; Metazoa; Chordata; Mammalia; Perissodactyla; Equidae.
AGAGGAGGAUUGGCAGUAAUUAGCUCAGGGCUAAUCUUCCUCCAAAAAAAAAAAAAAAAGCUGUGGACAUUUGCCCUCGGAAUUGAAAUCACUCCAAAGAGUGGAGAACCUGCCCUCAAAUUGUCUCAUCAUAGGAGUAGACAUUUGAUAGAGGCUUUCCUUUUGAUUUCAGUCCUUAAAUGCUAUUUUAAAUUCUUUCCAGGCAUUUAAGCUAUGCCCUAGUUCUAUUUGUCUACAUUUCUUGUUAAAAGAACCCAAGUGUUACAGACAACUGUUACUAUAAGGGGCUUCGCUACAUACCAUCAUGCUGACCGGCCUUUGGUUCAACAAAUAAUUCCUGGACUAAGGAGUCCUUCAACUCUGGUAUUGCCGUACCCUAGAUGUGGUGCCAUUACAGACCGUCCCAGAAUUUUUGUUUUCAUUUAAAUUCACGUUUAAGGCAGAGGAGGAUUGGUAUGAGAGUUUACAAAACCAACCUUUUCUGGAAAACAAGCUCUAGCCUAGAUUAGAUAAUGAAUCACAAGAGAACACCAUGGUUACAGCCCACAUCUAAAUGAGUAAAUAGCCCUGAAAGAUGAUGUUUAAAGAUUUUUAAAUAAAACUUAGUAAGCUUAUGAAAAUAACAUAUUAGGACAUAUCAACCUGGCACCCUCCCUGAAUCUACUGAAAAAAUGCCUUCAUCAAACCCAACAAAUUAACUGUUUGCAUACCCUGAGCUGCUAUCCAUUUAACAAAGGUUUAUGAAGUGCCUGUUCUGGCAGGGCUUUAGAAAGACUCCCUGGCCUCCUGGAUUGUCCAUGUUAGUGAGGAGACUCUGUCAUGUGUUUUCCCCCCGAAGCAGCUGGAUACACUGUAUGGGAAGGGUUCAUGUUGGCCUGGGGAAGGCCUGGCUUACAAGGCCCCUAGGAGUCCGUCUGUGGGUAUCCAAGCUAGAAACAACCAAAGCAAGGAGGAAGAGUAACAAGUGCUGAGCCCCCAAGGAGGCUGCUACCAGCAAAUACCCUCAAGCCCAAAGGCUCUCUCGCUAUGUUGCUGUAUGCAUAGGUUGAAGAUCUCAGGAGGUUAUGUGCUCUGUGGCCCCCAGCAGGUCAUGAUGUCUCACAACCAGGGAGGGUUGAAAAGAAUUUAUUUUCCAGAGAUGGGGCUAAGCAGAAUGGAGAGAAGCAACACUGAAAAGUGUUUCCCCAUUAUUUCCUGUGCUAUAUUUUUAUUACCUUCCAUUCUACUCUCUGUGCUCUAAGGCAUUUACAUAUAAGUGUCCAGUGUGUUUUUACCCAGAAAAUGGAACAUAAAGCAGGUAAUUCUGAAGCUUUCCUGCUGGCUCUGUAACCUCUGAUGCAAGAUAUUCUAUAUAUUUUGUAACCGUGCUGGUGGACCAGGGCUGACAUACCCUGGAAACCCCCUUACUAAGGGAUUGACAAGGAGUAAGCACCACUGUCAGCUUGUCAAACUUGCUUCAUCGUGACUCACAGCAGCUGAAUGAACCACAUGGGAAAGCACAUUGGGUAGCACGGGUACUAAGUGCUGUGCAGCUGCACAGUCUCAUUGAGACAGUCCCUGCCUGACUUUGCAGCAGCACCAUGGUAUACAAGGGUGCCAAAUUGGGGCAUGCCCAGGAUAGGAUCUCUCAGGGAAGGCAAAAUGUUGCACCAUCCUUUGGGUUCUUGUCUCCCCUUCACCCCCAUUACUGUGUAAUGCCUUUUCUCCCCAAAGUAAGGCCCUGGAGAUCCCUUAGAGCUUAUUUAACCCAUAUAUAGGUAAAACUAUAAAGAGGAAGCAGAGUAGAGGCCGUAUUAGAUGGCUUCACCACAGUGCCUGCCACAACUGUUCUGCCUGAAACAUCCCUUCUCAUUGCCCAGAGCUGCAGAGGGUCUGAGAUUUUACCCUGCUUACAAGCUAACGCUUUUCAUAGAUUCUGGCAGAAUAUAUGAGACCCCCUGGAUCAGAGACAAGAUUAUUUCUCACUACAUGGCAGUCGGCACAAGCUUCAUGAUUGGGUCAGUUCCUUUUGCCCCUGUGUCCCUUGGGGAUGAUGCAGAGCUGGGCCCCGGUGGGUGCCGCACACACGGUGAGUUUGUGUCACAAAUGAGGAAAUUCGAGCUUAGGUAACCCCAGUCUUGUAAGAGGGCUGCUGGCAAGUCUGCCUAACCUUUGCCCCAGAGCAAAACAUUAUUUGUUAUCUUGGUAAGGAAACAAAUCUGUCCUCUGAUCUGGGGGUAGGAGAUGGUAAUAUAUCUGUCUUCUAAGACUUUUCUAUGCACACUCUAAAAGGACAGUACAGAACAAAGCUGUCGAUGCCCCUUGGUCAGAAGACAUGAGAAAUACAAGACACCCAUGAAUUGCCUCCCAGCUCCCAUAGCCCCUGCCAAAGGGAUGGGACACUGCAGGUCACAAGGCUCCACUCCGUCCAGCUACAGCUAAUUAGACUGGUGGUAGGCACCUGCUUCAAGGCCCGUCCCUUCAGAGGUUGGCCAAUAAACAGGUGCUAAAGUUAAGGCAAGCCAGCCUGGUUCUCUCGCUAUUUUAUGUUGAGAAAGAGAGAAUUCCCAGUAGGAAAUGGGAGCUGAAGCAAAAGGGUUGCAUGAGGAGGGAUAUUAAAGUUGUGAAUAGCCAUGUAAUGCUGAAAUGAUGAAGAAGCAGAAAAUUAGAGCAACUAGAAACUGCGAGUGAGAGAAGAUAAGUGAGAGUGGAUUGAAGAGGAAGCCAACUGUAGUGGAGGGAAGGAAGCUGAGCCCUGUUACCGGUGGAACAGUACGACAUAGAAACAGUCAUGGCUCCUUCCUUUCCCGAGGCAUCUUCUUACUUUUCGUCCCCAUCUGCUACCCACACCAAAUAUGGGCAUCCUUUAUAGUGACACAUACACAAGCCAUUACUGCAGAGAAUUUGAGUGAGUUUCUUAGCUAAGUAAACUUUGGUUAUGAAUAUAAGAGGUGCAGAAAAGAUGUAGGACAGUAAGAGUAAAUUAGCAAACAUUUAUUGAGUACGUACUAUAUGCCAGGAAUGCUUAUAGGUAGUUUUAUGUGCUUUUUCUUAGUUAGUCCCAACAAAACUUCUUAGAGGUAGACUAUUCUAAUCUCCAAAAGGCAGCAGAAGGUUAAGUAGUUGGCAAGGGUCACACAGCUAGUAAGUAAGGUACUCAGGAAUCUAUUCCAGUGCUCUUAACUGCCUUGUUAUAUUGCCUUCCACGUGGGUGAGUUCACACUCAAGUUAAGUAUAGAUGAAGUAAGUUUCAGCUAGAGUACUAAUAGUUCUUGCAGACUAACUUGCGAGUUCAAUAGCCCUUUAUAACAUUGUUUCAAUGGAGAUGAAAACGCUAAACAUUUGGACCCAAAACUACUCAGAAAUUGGUAAUUAUCUGUAUUAAUAACCAUAGAGAAUAAGCCCAAAGAGGCUAAGGAGAGGAGCCUAAACAUAUUACGUUGAUUUAUUCUCCUACCUGAAAAAAAUGAUCUCAGCAGAUGGAGAAGUUUAUGUUACUUUCAAAUCCACUGCAGAGAGAAUUCUGCCUCCACUAUUUUUCGUUUGUCAGUCCCUGUGGUACCCAUAGUGCCAGUGAACACUAUCCACACGUCUAAAUAAGCAACAGCAAUGACGUGGUCAAAGGAAACCUGUUGUAUUUCCACAGACUGGUAAGACCUGGGUUGAAAGCAGGUUGUGAUUGAAUAGGGGUAAAUGUCAGGUCCCUGUUAGUCACACAAAAUCCACUCUACAUGGGCUUGCCCUCUCCUAAUUAGUCUCUGUCCCAGACAGCUAAUCCUUUUGGUUAAUGAGUACCUAUGGCAUCAUCUCCAGUAACACAUACCACAGGAACCUGGGAGAGGUUUGCCAAAGCAAGUUGGCAAAGGUGCUUGUCUUCAUAGACUGCUUUGUAUUUAGAUUCAAUGAAAAACUAACAAAUCACCAAUGUAUCACCUCACUUAAGGAAGAGGCAGUGGCUUGCCCAUGAUCACACAGCCAGAAAAUGUUGGAUCUAGGCCUUGAAUUCAGGUUUUCUGACUCCAAACACAGUUCGUCCACUCUGCCAAAAGCUCCGCCCUUGCUUUCUUGCCCAGUGUAAUCCUCGGGUGAGUCAGGGCAGCAGCUAAGGUUAGAUCAGAAAUAGGUUGUGUUUACCUACAAGCCCGCUUUGUGCAUAGGUCUCAGCUUCCAGCAGACAAAGUGGGAAAAUAAUAACAAAGAAGCAGAUCAAGACAUUUGCUUGGAGGCUCAACCAUCGCCUUUCUCCCAGCAAUCUGCAGCCCAGAGGCCAGGGUCAAGUCCCCACGCCUGUGUCACAAUAGUUUGACCCAGGGAAAAUCAGAAAUCAGAGAAUGUGAGUACUGGAAGCAACUUUAAAGAUCAUGUGAGAUACUUCACAAUCGGUGGUUUGGAUUCUUUUGAGAAUUUGAGGAAACAUAAGAGCACAUUUCCUGAGAACAUGCACAUUAAAACAUACGCAGGACUCCUUGGAGCCCAGAAAAAGAAUCUGGGUUUUUUGGACUUGAAGGAUCACUGAGAUAAAAUGACUUGCUCAAGACCGUAGAAGAAGUUGAUGGAGUUGGGACUCCAGCCUGAAGUACAAGGGGGUCCUGGCUACCCUAGAGUUCAUCAUGUAAGGCCCUACUGCUUUCAGUGGGCAUGGGAGGCUUUAUUAAGGAAAAUACUGUAUUAUCUAAUGGACCAAACAGCAUUAAGUUAUUUCCCAUUCAAAUAUUCUGCUCCGUUUAGUGUUGACUCCCACCAAUUACAUCACUGUCUUUCUUGUUCAGAUUCCAAGAUUACUGUUGUUUAGAAUAUCCAGCAAAGCCCUGUCAAUAUGAUGCACAUUGGUUGCAAAGCGAAAUGAAAAUCUUGUGAAAGAAGCAGAAUUUCAUGAGAUUGAUGGAAGUGAUGUAGAGAACUGCUCAAAAUCACACACACAAAGACUUUGGUAAACAAGGAGCUAGUGGAGUUAGACUGGUUGACAACUGAGAAGAAUAAAGCACAUGAAGGCUGACAGGCUAAGCACCCCAACAGGCUAAGCACUCCAACAGAGAAUAUUUGGAUAUGAAAAGGUUUAAGAGAAUCCCCUGGGGAGACCAACGAAGCCCUCACACAUUUUUGUUAAAUGAUGCUCUUUAUAGUCACGUUGUGAAAACCAAGCAUCAAAUGAAAUAUGGUAUAUGCCGAAGUACAGUUUUGUUGGAAAGUUACACCAAAAUCUGUAUAGUUUUUAAUUUCAUUAAAUCCUAUGGAGGCUUUUUUUGUUUUCAACAUUUACUAUGAAAUUUUGGCCAACCCUGCAGAUCUAGUGGUUAAGAUUCGGCCACCACGGCCAGGUUCGUUUCCGGAUCAGGGAACCACACCAUCCUUCUGUUGGUUGUCACACUGUGGUGGCCAUGUGUUACUCUGAUUCUGAAAGCUAUGCCAUUGGUAUUUCAAAUACCAGCAGAGUCACCCACGGUGGACAGGUUUUAGCAGAGCUUCCAGACUGGAAAGAAGGACCUGACCAGCCACUUCCGAAAAAUAUUGUCAAUGAAAACCCUGUGAAUAGCAGCGGAGCAUUGUCUGAUACAGCGCCGGGAGGUGAGAGGAUGGCACAAGAAGAUGGAGCAGGGUUCCACUUUGCUGUACGCAGCAUGGCUAGGAGUCGGCAUCUACCGGACGGCACUAACAACAGCAAAUGAAAUUUUGGUCCCUAUUUUAAGUGAGCUCGCUAUACAUUGCUGUUUUUUAUUUUACUCAUUAUCCUUGGAUAAUGAGUAUGUCCUGUAUUUCAUUCUAACUUCAAGGAGCAGAAACCUCUUUUUUGUGUUGAUCUUUAAUUACACGUUUCUGACUCCAAAUCACAAAGUUCCUUGAGAACUGUCAUUUUGCAAAUCUCCCUCCAGGAAAUUUUUGGUCACAUUCAUAGAUAUGGAGUGUCAAUGAUGACCUCUAAGGGAUAAAAUUGUGGUGUUACAAAUUGAGUAAAUUUUAAUACACUGGGAAGAACUUUUCUGAAACUCCAUGUUCAUCAUAACUCAAUAUUGUUUUGAAAAAUGAGAAUGUCAUUGAAACCAAAGGGCAUGGACGUGAAAUAGAUGAAUUCUAGGGUAUUUAUUGAAUACCUCUCAUAGACGGAAUUUUAUAAAGUCUUAUGUGGUUUGAAUAAUUGGUAACUAUGCAUGCAUCUGUUAGCAGAUAUUUUAAUCAUUAAUGAUUCUGCAGAGAAAACACGCUCCAAGACAUUUUUACUCUGUGUGGUAAUCUAAGAAUGAAUUAUAAAAUUAAAUUUUAUAAUUAGAUUGUUUGGGUUUAUCCAGCGUCAUGGAAUUACUGUUAAUUUGAAUCGUUGAUCAGUUUCUUAUUGUGACUUUACAAUGGCAAUAAAAUUCAGGGACUCAUAUUUAGGCAUCUCUCCUGCUUAGUUAGCUAUUAAACAUCUCCAUAGUUUUUGCCCCAACAUUUUAAGGCUUAGCACCUAUGGUAACAUAGGGCUAUUGGUAGGGUGACCAUAUAAUUUAUCAUCCAAACUGGUGUACUUUCGAGAGGGACACUUUUAAUAAGUACACUGGGACAGCAGUUGUAAACAAGGAUUAUCCCAGUACACAAGGACAUAUGGCCAAUAUACCUAUUGAUGGCCUGUUUGUUAUUGUUGCUUGGGAGUCAGGGACCCCUGCCCCUCAUCAUUUAUAAGCCCCCGGUGCACAUUCAACCCCCUCCACCUGAGACACAGGU